RNAcentral lists this ribosomal RNA (468 nucleotides) under uncultured bacterium. RNAcentral describes it as "partial 16S ribosomal RNA". It matches the Rfam family "Bacterial small subunit ribosomal RNA", at positions 28 to 507 of the family's 1533-position model. The record is from RNAcentral.
GACGAACGCUGGCGGCUUGCUUAACACAUGCAAGUCGAACGGAAAGGCCCUGCUUUUGUGGGGUGCUCGAGUGGCGAACGGGUGAGUAACACGUGAGUAACCUGCCCUUGACUUUGGGAUAACUUCAGGAAACUGGGGCUAAUACCGGAUAGGAGCUCCUGCUGCAUGGUGGGGGUUGGAAAGUUUCGGCGGUUGGGGAUGGACUCGCGGCUUAUCAGCUUGUUGGUGGGGUAGUGGCUUACCAAGGCUUUGACGGGUAGCCGGCCUGAGAGGGUGACCGGCCACAUUGGGACUGAGAUACGGCCCAGACUCCUACGGGAGGCAGCAGUGGGGAAUAUUGCACAAUGGGCGGAAGCCUGAUGCAGCAACGCCGCGUGCGGGAUGACGGCCUUCGGGUUGUAAACCGCUUUCGCCUGUGACGAAGCGUGAGUGACGGUAAUGGGUAAAGAAGCACCGGCUAACUACGUG